GUUCUCUCAGAGCUGCACCUGGAGAGUUUCCGGUACUCUACCAGUCUCGACUACGGGAGGGAGAGUUAAGCAGAGGCAUAUCCAUUCCAUUCCUAGCUUGGGCAGUGGCUAGUGAGUGGAAGACAAUCUGCUACAAGU
This is a small nucleolar RNA of Tachyglossus aculeatus (Australian echidna), 138 nucleotides long. The record is from RefSeq and is a predicted model, not a curated record. Lineage: Eukaryota; Metazoa; Chordata; Mammalia; Monotremata; Tachyglossidae.